AGCCAUCAUUUAAAAGAAAGCGUAAUAGCUCACUGGUCGAGUCGGCCUGCGCGGAAGAUGUAACGGGGCUAAACCAUGCACCGAAGCUGCGGCAGCGA
RNAcentral lists this ribosomal RNA (98 nucleotides) under Salmonella enterica subsp. enterica serovar Heidelberg str. N189. RNAcentral describes it as "partial 23S ribosomal RNA". It matches the Rfam family "Bacterial large subunit ribosomal RNA", at positions 1114 to 1205 of the family's 2925-position model. The record is from RNAcentral. Lineage: Bacteria; Pseudomonadati; Pseudomonadota; Gammaproteobacteria; Enterobacterales; Enterobacteriaceae.